Astatotilapia calliptera (eastern happy) is the source of this 2083-nucleotide long non-coding RNA. The record is from Ensembl. Lineage: Eukaryota; Metazoa; Chordata; Actinopteri; Cichliformes; Cichlidae.
AAAAGGCUGAGCUCGCACAGGAGCUCAUUUUCCACUCGGCACUCGAUGAGAGCACAUCUCUGCCUGUCCAACUAUUGACAGCUAACCUAGCAAAGAGAAAUUUUUUGGCAAACAGCUUUCCAUGCCUUCAGAAAGGGACACCAGUGUGGACUUGGAUGAACAGUUAUUUAGUUUCAGGAGGCCCUAUGGAAGCUUCACCAGCAGACGAACCAACGACAGCAAAUGCCAGUCCUCCAAGUCGGGCAGAUUUACACUUAAAGAACCCCAUUUUGCUGUGUAAAAGAGAAAAUUAGACUGUGUCUCAGCUGGUGGUGGAGCCAGACAGUCAGGCUGUGUCGAUAAAUGAAGCAGAGGGAGCCUGACCAUGCGUCACACAUUUGACGAGUUAAGAGUGAGAAUGUUGAUAAGACACGAGGGGUGGAGAGACAUGACCUCAAAAAGUGCUAUAAAGAGUGGAAUGUCACCACCCCUUUUCAGUUUGCCUGGUCCUGAAGAAAGAUGUGACGUGGAAUGGAAAGUUCAAUAGACUAAAUCUGCGAUUUUGCUUAUUUAUGUGCGGUACACACUUUCUGCAAAGUCUUUACACAACUAGAAAGCUCUUGGAGCUUGGAGUCAAUAGAUCUUUGCAGCAGCAAACAUGAUUGAGGGGAAAAGGCCAUUAUCACAGCAAGUCGAGCGGGAACUGAUGGGUCUGCAUCCCAACAUGAAUUGGAUUCAGAGUGUCUGUCCUCUCCAGUAAGGCCUGAAGUGCAGAAGGCAGCGUGCCCAGCCAGGGUGACGCCCAAACUGGAGAGCUGCCUGGAAGACAAGUGGAUUUGCGACACAUGACACUGAGCUCAACAAGACACUGGGCAAGCUGUGGCACAUUUUUCAGAGGAACAGGAAUGGGGAAAAGGAGGCGCAACAUCAAUUUGUCACCAUGCAAACAGCCACAGCUCUCAGCCAUAUGUUGCCUUGAACAACCCGCACGCUGAGGCUGGAGACCGCGGAGGAUGCUCUGUGAAGAGGGAGUUGAGUUGAAACCGGAGCCAAUCAUCCCGCCCUGUCUGCUGUGUCCACAGACAGCCUGGGUCUCUCGUGGGGCCCACCCAGCUGCCAUGUACUCAUUUGUCACACUGGGAGGAAGAGACCGCUGGUACACCAACCCUCCCAUAUCCUCCACGCAUCCGUGCCUCGCCAUUUGGUCGAUACGGAGUCAUCCGUUUAAAGGGUGUACUUAUUGUACUUAUUUUUGUGUGUACUUACCCCAUUUUUCUUCUUUUUACUUACCAGAUUCUACGAGCCAUGGAGGGUGUUGCUAGGGAGAACAUGGAUGGUUUGGCCACAGCAUUUUCAAGUGCCUCCAGUGUUCCAUAUUUCCUGACUGACCCAGAGAUCCUCAUUCCUCUGCAGGCUAGUACUGUUGACAAUGCUGGUGAGCAACUAGAUGCUGACUUCGAUUUUGAUGGCAUCGUAAUCGAACCGAGAUGGCUGGAAAGGUUGAAGCUGUUGUUCUCAAAGUUCAACCUUUCUCUCUACCGAAUCCAACAGCUGCGGAAUUCUUGGCAUUUGAUCAAGAAACAUUUUGAUCUAACCAAGUUUUCCAAGGAAGGCUUGGAAGUCCUACACAAGGUUCGAGGCAUCGACCUUGUUGAGCUGGAUGAAGGAUUUAAAUUGCAUGUUGUUGCAAUUCACCGAUCCCUUGUUAGGGUUGACAAAGCCUGUCAGUCCCCACAGAAACCAUUGAUCUCAUCAAUGGUAUGAUGAUCAACUUUGUGGAGAAUCUUAAAUUGUUCUGCUCGCUCUUCAGAAACUUGAAUGUAUGCCUGGUAGAAUGCCCUGCAUGGAUUACAGCUUAGUUUGUAACUGUGUGCUUGGUGUGGCUGAAGAAAUUGCUCAUCAACUUUACUGUUGCGGUGAGGACCUGCAGAUGGCGAGGCAUUGCAACACUUUCCAAUUAAUGUGUUCUUGAGGAGGAAAAGUGUCUUCACUGGUGCUUUGCUAACACUGUCAAUAAAGUCUUGAUGUGUAAGGUGAUAUGGUGUGUUAUGGAGAGAUUGUGUCACUGCAGUCCGGGAGUUCACAUCGUACUGCUGCUCUGCCC